AGAGUUUGAUCCUGGCUCAGGAUGAACGCUAGCGGCAGGCCUAAUACAUGCAAGUCGAACGGGAUUGGAGAGCUUGCUUUCCAUGAGAGUGGCGUACGGGUGCGUAACGCGUAUGCAACCUACCUUCAUCAGGGGGAUAGCCCUCGGAAACGGGGAUUAACACCGCAUAAAAACACAACCUGGCAUCAGGAAAUGUUCAAAUAUUUAUAGGAUGAAGAUGGGCAUGCGUGUCAUUAGCUAGUUGGCGAGGUAACGGCUCACCAAGGCGACGAUGACUAGGGGAUCUGAGAGGGAGAUCCCCCACACUGGUACUGAGACACGGACCAGACUCCUACGGGAGGCAGCAGUGAGGAAUAUUGGACAAUGGGCGCAAGCCUGAUCCAGCCAUGCCGCGUGCAGGAUGACGGUCCUAUGGAUUGUAAACUGCUUUUGCACAGGAAGAAACAUCCCGACGUGUCGGGACUUGACGGUACUGUGAGAAUAAGGAUCGGCUAACUCCGUGCCAGCAGCCGCGGUAAUACGGAGGAUCCAAGCGUUAUNCGGAAUCAUUGGGUUUAAAGGGUCCCUANGCNGGCUCGUAAGUCAGUGGGUGAAAGCCCAUCGNUCAACGAUGGAAACGGCCAUUGGAUUACUGGCAAGUUCUUUGAAUUUA
RNAcentral lists this ribosomal RNA (652 nucleotides) under uncultured Bacteroidota bacterium. RNAcentral describes it as "bacterial SSU rRNA". It matches the Rfam family "Bacterial small subunit ribosomal RNA", at positions 8 to 657 of the family's 1533-position model. The record is from RNAcentral. Lineage: Bacteria; Pseudomonadati; Bacteroidota.